GGAGAGGUGGCCGAGCGGUUUAAGGCGGCGGUCUUGAAAACCGCUGAGCUGAAAGGUUCCGGGGGUUCGAAUCCCUCCCUCUCCGCCA
This 88-nucleotide transfer RNA is filed under the name Deltaproteobacteria bacterium. RNAcentral describes it as "tRNA-Ser". It matches the Rfam family "tRNA". Rfam says of the family: Transfer RNA (tRNA) molecules are approximately 80 nucleotides in length. Their secondary structure includes four short double-helical elements and three loops (D, anti-codon, and T loops). Further hydrogen bonds mediate the characteristic L-shaped molecular structure. tRNAs have two regions of fundamental functional importance: the anti-codon, which is responsible for specific mRNA codon recognition, and the 3' end, to which the tRNAs corresponding amino acid is attached (by aminoacyl-tRNA synthetases). tRNAs cope with the degeneracy of the genetic code in two manners: having more than one tRNA (with a specific anti-codon) for a particular amino acid; and 'wobble' base-pairing, i.e. permitting non-standard base-pairing at the 3rd anti-codon position. The record is from RNAcentral. Lineage: Bacteria; Pseudomonadati; Myxococcota; Myxococcia.